Molecule: small nuclear RNA, 163 nt
Organism: Mauremys mutica (yellowpond turtle)
Lineage: Eukaryota; Metazoa; Chordata; Testudines; Geoemydidae
Product: U1 spliceosomal RNA
Exons: 1
Source: RefSeq, a predicted model, not a curated record
UAACUUUGACACAGGGGAGAUACCAUGAUCACCAAAGGGGUUUUCCCAGGGUGAGGCACAUCCAUUGCACUGUGGGUGUGUUGACUUCUGUGAUUUCCCCAAACGUGGGAAACUCAACUGCAGCCUUUGUGCUAGUGGGGGACUGCGUUCGCGCUUUCCCCUG